This 1125-nucleotide ribosomal RNA is filed under the name Porphyromonas gingivalis. RNAcentral describes it as "bacterial SSU rRNA". It matches the Rfam family "Bacterial small subunit ribosomal RNA", at positions 8 to 1125 of the family's 1533-position model. Lineage: Bacteria; Pseudomonadati; Bacteroidota; Bacteroidia; Bacteroidales; Porphyromonadaceae. The record is from RNAcentral.
AGAGUUUGAUCCUGGCUCAGGAUGAACGCUAGCGAUAGGCUUAACACAUGCAAGUCGAGGGGCAGCAUGAUCUUAGCUUGCUAAGGUUGAUGGCGACCGGCGCACGGGUGCGUAACGCGUAUGCAACUUGCCUUACAGAGGGGGAUAACCCGUUGAAAGACGGACUAAAACCGCAUACACUUGUAUUAUUGCAUGAUAUUACAAGGAAAUAUUUAUAGCUGUAAGAUAGGCAUGCGUCCCAUUAGCUGGUUGGUGAGGUAACGGCUCACCAAGGCGACGAUGGGUAGGGGAACUGAGAGGUUUAUCCCCCACACUGGUACUGAGACACGGACCAGACUCCUACGGGAGGCAGCAGUGAGGAAUAUUGGUCAAUGGGCGAGAGCCUGAACCAGCCAAGUCGCGUGAAGGAAGACAGUCCUAAGGAUUGUAAACUUCUUUUAUACGGGAAUAACGGGCGAUACGAGUAUUGCAUUGAAUGUACCGUAAGAAUAAGCAUCGGCUAACUCCGUGCCAGCAGCCGCGGUAAUACGGAGGAUGCGAGCGUUAUCCGGAUUUAUUGGGUUUAAAGGGUGCGUAGGUUGUUCGGUAAGUCAGCGGUGAAACCUGAGCGCUCAACGUUCAGCCUGCCGUUGAAACUGCCGGGCUUGAGUUCAGUGGCGGCAGGCGGAAUUCGUGGUGUAGCGGUGAAAUGCAUAGAUAUCACGAGGAACUCCGAUUGCGAAGGCAGCUUGCCAUACUGCGACUGACACUGAAGCACGAAAGCGUGGGUAUCAAACAGGAUUAGAUACCCUGGUAGUCCACGCAGUAAACGAUGAUUACUAGGAGUUUGCGAUAUACCGUCAAGCUUCCACAGCGAAAGCGUUAAGUAAUCCACCUGGGGAGUACGCCGGCAACGGUGAAACUCAAGGAAUUGACGGGGGCCCGCACAAGCGGAGGAACAUGUGGUUUAAUUCGAUGAUACGCGAGGAACCUUACCCGGGAUUGAAAUGUAGAUGACGGAUGGUGAAAACCGUCUUCCCUUCGGGGCUUCUAUGUAGGUGCUGCAUGGUUGUCGUCAGCUCGUGCCGUGAGGUGUCGGCUUAAGUGCCAUAACGAGCGCAACCCACAUCGGUAGUUGCUAACAGU